RNAcentral lists this long non-coding RNA (1352 nucleotides) under Cyanistes caeruleus (blue tit). RNAcentral's name for it is "lncRNA (ENSCCEG00000013659.1)". The record is from RNAcentral. Lineage: Eukaryota; Metazoa; Chordata; Aves; Passeriformes; Paridae.
ACUUCAUAUAAAAUCAUGAAAUAAAUUUAGGUUUAACCAAGUUGUCUGUUGACUUCUACUGAAAGUCUCAUUCUCAGAUCAUUUUCCUCUGUGUGCUCUGCUUCAAUUCAAUUUAUACUUGUUUUUAACUUCAAAAAUCUGGGGUUUGGUUAUUCCAGUUGUUGAUUUGCUGGCAAACACCUUGACACCUUUAAAUCCUUGUUUUUACUGUGCUUUUCCCCAGUGACAUUUGGUAUAUUUGUCAUUAGUAAUAUUUAAUAUUUCUCUUUGGCCUUAGUGCUGUUGUGAUACAUAUUUUUAAAAAUCAGAGGAAUAUUUGAUUAUUUAGUCCCAUUUACAUAUAAAUACCUUAAAACCAAACUUUGUAAAAUCUCUGGAAGCUUUCUGAAAAUUCAUUCAGUCCUGGGCUAAAUUUUUAUAGAAUUUUGAGCUCUUAUUUCUGAAUAAAUAAGGUGGAUAUUUUUUAAAUUAUCAAACAGAUUGAAAUAGUAGGGCAUUUUUAUAUAAAUAUAGACUCAGGAGUGAUCCAAUGUGAAUUAUAUUAAACUCAGUGGGAAACCAUCCAUUAACCUUAGCAAGAAUAGAAUCAGAAUUCCAGAAAGUGAAUUCUGCUUUAGGAGCCCUGUGCCUGGGGAUUAUUCAAAUACCUUCCUGAUACUUUUAUCAAUGAAUUGGACAAUUAGUUGUACUAAUUAGCAGCAUCACUUUGGAAGAACUGCUUGGAGAAAGUGGAGUGACAACAACAGAGGCGGCCUAGAGCAGGCAGGGAUGGAACUGGGAUGAAAUUCCUUCUCCAUGGAAAUUAAUUUUGAAUUUUCUCAGCAUUUCCAAUUUCAGGAUAAUUUCAGUUGGAGCCUGAAUCCAGAGCAGAGUCUGCUGGAGUCUCCUCUCUGCUCCCAUGGCAGCAUCUGCCCUGCAAGAGAGUUUAAAAUAAUCAAGAUUUGCCAGUUAUGGAGGAAGAAGAGGCUUUAGAGCAACAAAACGGGCAAAAACCACAAAGACUUGAAGAAACAGCACUUCUCUAAUUCUUCCCAAAAGUUCUGAGAACCACCAAAUCCUAAAGGAUUACACCCACCAGUCUUCCUGAUUUCAGGUAGGUGAAUUCUCUCUUUGCCUCUCUUCCUGACAGCCCAGGGAAGCUGAGGAUUCUCAUUCCCUGGAAGUGUCCAAGGCCAGGUUGGACAGGGCCCAGAGCAGCCUGGGACAGUGGGAGGCAUCCCCAUGGCAGGGGAGGGAAUGGAUGGGAUUUAAGGUCCCUUCCCACCCAAACCUCUCUAGGGUUCUCUGAUUUCUCUGAAAUUAAAAAUAAUGCAAUUAAUAAAUACAAUUUUAUGUGACUUUCUCCCUUGACA